RNAcentral lists this transfer RNA (121 nucleotides) under Endocarpon pusillum Z07020. It matches the Rfam family "tRNA". Rfam says of the family: Transfer RNA (tRNA) molecules are approximately 80 nucleotides in length. Their secondary structure includes four short double-helical elements and three loops (D, anti-codon, and T loops). Lineage: Eukaryota; Fungi; Ascomycota; Eurotiomycetes; Verrucariales; Verrucariaceae. The record is from Rfam by way of RNAcentral.
GGUCGCGUGGCCUAAUGGUUAAGGCGCUGGUUUUCGGCACCAGUCAGUAAUCUUCUCCUCUUUGAUCUACUGUCAACUGACUCCAACAAGGAGAUUGAGCGUUCGAAUCGCUCCGUGAUCG